AUCGGCAGCAACCUCUCUCAAAUCACCAUAGCUAUUUCUCUCACAUUUUUCUUAAGUUUAUCGGCGAAUCGAACGUGUAAUCGCGUAAUCGGGACUUUCUCGAGGUAGGUACGCCCAAUUAUUAGCCAUGUCAAAGAGUAAGGGGUUGGAAGAAAAAGAAUCAUCGAAAAGAAAGGUUUGGAAGUAAACACCAUCCAGGUGUGUGGAAGAUAUCGCCAGGCUAAGGAAGAAAGGAAAACAAUUGCCUAGCGAAGGAAAUUUGGCAAUAAAGUGAGCAUUAUGAAGGAAAAAUAGCCAGACGGAAGAGAUCGCUAAGCUGAAGGGUAGAACAGAGAUUUCAAGUGAAGGCUUCUAGAAGAUCCCCUCCGCAUCUAUAUAAGAGAGAGCAUGCAAUUUACGAAAAAGAGGAGGAGGAGAAAAUUUUCUUUUGGCUCUCAGCUCAUUCGCACACACUUCUACACACUUGGGUUUCGGAAUUUGAGAGGGGUUCGGGUUUUACUUUCGAUUUGAUGUUGCGUACCACCGUCCUCACGUAGGGCGAAGAAACAAUUUACUGUUUUCAUUUCAGUUUCUGCUGUGAAUUUCACCGAGUCUUAGCUGUUCGAAGCUCGGCUUUUGCUGACUGUUGAAGUACUAUUGAUCAUUCUAUGCAAUUUCUAUUUUCUGUUAUGA
Long non-coding RNA from Salvia splendens (bonfire salvia), 672 nucleotides. RefSeq lists it as uncharacterized. NCBI's taxonomy places the organism in Eukaryota, Viridiplantae, Streptophyta, Magnoliopsida, Lamiales, Lamiaceae. The transcript is spliced from 3 exons. The record is from RefSeq and is a predicted model, not a curated record.